This 420-nucleotide ribosomal RNA is filed under the name Fusobacteriota bacterium. RNAcentral's name for it is "Fusobacteria bacterium partial 16S ribosomal RNA". It matches the Rfam family "Bacterial small subunit ribosomal RNA", at positions 355 to 776 of the family's 1533-position model. The record is from RNAcentral. Lineage: Bacteria; Fusobacteriati; Fusobacteriota.
UGGGGGAUAUUGCACAAUGGGCGAAAGCCUGAUGCAGCGACGCCGCGUGGGGGAUGAAGGCCUUCGGGUUGUAAACUUCUUUUGCUCUGAACAAGGCAUGCCUUUGGGGUGUGUUGAGUGUAGGGGUUGAUUAGCGCCGGCUAACUACGUGCCAGCAGCCGCGGUAAUACGUAGGGCGCGAGCGUUGUCCGGAAUUAUUGGGCGUAAAGGGCUUGUAGGUGGCUGGUUGCGUCUGUCGUGAAAGCUCAUGGCUUAACUGUGGGUUUGCGGUGGGUACGGGCUGGCUUGAGUGCAGUAGGGGAGGCUGGAAUUCCUGGUGUAGCGGUGGAAUGCGCAGAUAUCAGGGGGAAUACCGGUGGCGAAGGCGGGUCUCUGGGCUGUUACUGACGCUGAGGAGCGAGAGCGUGGGGAGCGAACAGG